RNAcentral lists this ribosomal RNA (563 nucleotides) under Staphylococcus succinus. RNAcentral's name for it is "bacterial SSU rRNA". It matches the Rfam family "Bacterial small subunit ribosomal RNA", at positions 972 to 1532 of the family's 1533-position model. The record is from RNAcentral. Lineage: Bacteria; Bacillati; Bacillota; Bacilli; Caryophanales; Staphylococcaceae.
UACCAAAUCUUGACAUCCUUUGAAAACUCUAGAGAUAGAGCCUUCCCCUUCGGGGGACAAAGUGACAGGUGGUGCAUGGUUGUCGUCAGCUCGUGUCGUGAGAUGUUGGGUUAAGUCCCGCAACGAGCGCAACCCUUAAGCUUAGUUGCCAUCAUUAAGUUGGGCACUCUAGGUUGACUGCCGGUGACAAACCGGAGGAAGGUGGGGAUGACGUCAAAUCAUCAUGCCCCUUAUGAUUUGGGCUACACACGUGCUACAAUGGACAAUACAAAGGGCAGCUAAACCGCGAGGUCAUGCAAAUCCCAUAAAGUUGUUCUCAGUUCGGAUUGUAGUCUGCAACUCGACUACAUGAAGCUGGAAUCGCUAGUAAUCGUAGAUCAGCAUGCUACGGUGAAUACGUUCCCGGGUCUUGUACACACCGCCCGUCACACCACGAGAGUUUGUAACACCCGAAGCCGGUGGAGUAACCAUUUAUGGAGCUAGCCGUCGAAGGUGGGACAAAUGAUUGGGGUGAAGUCGUAACAAGGUAGCCGUAUCGGAAGGUGCGGCUGGAUCACCUCCUU